RNAcentral lists this unclassified non-coding RNA (379 nucleotides) under uncultured bacterium. RNAcentral's name for it is "contains 16S-23S intergenic spacer region". The record is from RNAcentral.
UCCGGUUUGUCACCGGCAGUCUCCCAUGAGUCCCCGACAUUACUCGCUGGCAACAUGGGACAGGGGUUGCGCUCGUUGCGGGACUUAACCCAACAUCUCACGGCACGAGCUGACGACAGCCAUGCAGCACCUGUGUACGCUCCCUUGCGGGUCCUUCACCUUUCGGAUCCGUACCACGUACAUGUCAAACCCAGGUAAGGUUCUUCGCGUCGCUUCGAAUUAAGCAACAUGCUCCGCCGCUUGUGCAGGCCCCCGUCAAUUUCUUUGAGUUUUAACCUUGCGGCCGUACUCCCCAGGCGGAUGACUUAACGCGUUAGCUGCGCCACCGAAACGCUAAGCGCUCCGACAGCUAGUCAUCAUCGUUUACGGCGUGGACUAC